RNAcentral lists this ribosomal RNA (498 nucleotides) under uncultured bacterium. RNAcentral's name for it is "partial 16S ribosomal RNA". It matches the Rfam family "Bacterial small subunit ribosomal RNA", at positions 30 to 523 of the family's 1533-position model. The record is from RNAcentral.
AUUGAACGCUGGCGGCAUGCCUUACACAUGCAAGUCGAACGGUAACAGGUCUUCGGAUGCUGACGAGUGGCGAACGGGUGAGUAAUACAUCGGAACGUGCCUAGUAGUGGGGGAUAACUACUCGAAAGAGUGGCUAAUACCGCAUGAGAUCUACGGAUGAAAGCAGGGGAUCGCAAGACCUUGUGCUACUAGAGCGGCCGAUGGCAGAUUAGGUAGUUGGUGGGAUAAAAGCUUACCAAGCCGAAGAUCUGUAGCUGGUCGGAGAGGACGAUCAGCCACACUGGGACUGAGACACGGCCCAGACACCUACGGGAGGAAGAAGUGGGGAAUUUUGGACAAUGGUCGAAAGCCUGCUCCAGCAAUGCCGCGUACAGGAUGAAGGCCUUCGGGUUGUAAACUGCUUUUGUACGGAACGAAAAGCCCCGGGUUAAUACCCUGGGGUCAUGACGGUACCGUAAGAAUAAGCACCGGCUAACUACGUGCCAGCCGCCGCAGUAA